Molecule: non-coding RNA, 119 nt
Submitted as: unclassified sequences
Source: Rfam
UCACACCGGCGUCCAAAUCUUGCCUCUGGCAUUUCCCUGUACGUUAGCGAUGACCGCAAGGUAGCAACGUGUGUGACACCUGUGGCGUCAGAGUUCCCUGAUCAGGAUGACGCCUGGGU